GAACGGGUGAGUAACACGUGGGUGAUCUGCCCUGCACUUUGGGAUAAGCCUGGGAAACUGGGUCUAAUACCGAAUAUGACCACGCUCUUCAUGGGGUGUGGUGGAAAGCUUUUGCGGUGGGGGANNNNCCCGCGGCCUAUCAGCUUGUUGGUGGGGUAAUGGCCUACCAAGGCGACGACGGGUAGCCGGCCUGAGAGGGUGACCGGCCACACUGGGACUGAGAUACGGCCCAGACUCCUACGGGAGGCAGCAGUGGGGAAUAUUGCACAAUGGGCGCAAGCCUGAUGCAGCGACGCCGCGUGAGGGAUGACGGCCUUCGGGUUGUAAACCUCUUUCACCAGGGACGAAGCGCAAGUGACGGUACCUGGAGAAGAAGCACCGGCCAACUACGUGCCAGCAGCCGCGGUAAUACGUAGGGUGCGAGCGUUGUCCGGAAUUACUGGGCGUAAAGAGCUCGUAGGUGGUUUGUCGCGUUGUUCGUGAAAACUCACAGCUUAACUGUGGGCGUGCGGGCGAUACGGGCAGACUAGAGUACUGCAGGGGAGACUGGAAUUCCUGGUGU
This 562-nucleotide ribosomal RNA is filed under the name uncultured bacterium. RNAcentral describes it as "bacterial SSU rRNA". It matches the Rfam family "Bacterial small subunit ribosomal RNA", at positions 100 to 676 of the family's 1533-position model. The record is from RNAcentral.